AUUGAACGCUGGCGGCAUGCCUUACACAUGCAAGUCGAACGGCAGCACGGACUUCGGUCUGGUGGCGAGUGGCGAACGGGUGAGUAAUGUAUCGGAACGUACCUUUCAGUGGGGGAUAACGUAGCGAAAGUUACGCUAAUACCGCAUAUUCUGUGAGCAGGAAAGCAGGGGAUCGCAAGACCUUGCGCUGAUUGAGCGGCCGAUAUCAGAUUAGCUAGUUGGUGAGGUAAAGGCUCACCAAGGCGACGAUCUGUAGCGGGUCUGAGAGGAUGAUCCGCCACACUGGAACUGAGACACGGUCCAGACUCCUACGGGAGGCAGCAGUGGGGAAUUUUGGACAAUGGGGGCAACCCUGAUCCAGCCAUGCCGCGUGAGUGAAGAAGGCC
RNAcentral lists this ribosomal RNA (386 nucleotides) under uncultured bacterium. RNAcentral describes it as "bacterial SSU rRNA". It matches the Rfam family "Bacterial small subunit ribosomal RNA", at positions 30 to 416 of the family's 1533-position model. The record is from RNAcentral.